AUUGAACGCUGGCGGCAUGCCUUACACAUGCAAGUCGAACGGCAGCACGGGAGCAAUCCUAGUGGCGAGUGGCGAACGGGUGAGUAAUAUAUCGGAACGUGCCCAGUCGUGGGGAUAACGUAGCGAAAGCUACGCUAAUACCGCAUACGAUCUAUGGAUGAAAGCGGGGGAUCGCAAGACCUCGCGCGAUUGGAGCGGCCGAUAUCAGAUUAGGUAGUUGGUGAGGUAAAGGCUCACCAAGCCGACGAUCUGUAGCUGGUCUGAGAGGACGACCAGCCACACUGGGACUGAGACACGGCCCAGACUCCUACGGGAGGCAGCAUGGGGAAUUUUGGACAAUGGGCGCAAGCCUGAUCCAGCAAUGCCGCGUGCAGGAUGAAGGCCUCGGUUGUAACGUA
RNAcentral lists this ribosomal RNA (398 nucleotides) under uncultured bacterium. Its description in RNAcentral is "bacterial SSU rRNA". It matches the Rfam family "Bacterial small subunit ribosomal RNA", at positions 30 to 432 of the family's 1533-position model. The record is from RNAcentral.